RNAcentral lists this ribosomal RNA (414 nucleotides) under Boana boans group sp. ABGD cluster 15. Its description in RNAcentral is "partial large subunit ribosomal RNA". It matches the Rfam family "Archaeal large subunit ribosomal RNA", at positions 1927 to 2490 of the family's 2987-position model. Lineage: Eukaryota; Metazoa; Chordata; Amphibia; Anura; Hylidae. The record is from RNAcentral.
CUUGAAUAAAAUAAGAGGUCCAGCCUGCCCAGUGAAAUUAUUCAACGGCCGCGGUAUCCUAACCGUGCGAAGGUAGCGUAAUCACUUGUUCUUUAAAUGAGGACUAGUAUGAAUGGCACCACGAGGGUUCUACUGUCUCCUUUUUUUAAUCAGUGAAACUAAUCUCCCCGUGAAGAAGCGGGGAUCUUUAUAUAAGACGAGAAGACCCUAUGGAGCUUUAAACAACCAACAUUUGCUACACCACAACAUUUUACCUAAAAGAAAUAUAGCAUUAUGAUUAUUAGUUUUCGAUUGGGGUGAUCACGGAGUAAAAUAUAACCUCCAUGCCGAAAGGGUUCUUACCCUGAGCAAAAAGCCACAACUUUAAGCACUAAAAAAUUAACGCAGUUUGACCCAAUAUUUUGAUCAACGAAC